AUAAUAUUUUACAGACAUCAGACUCUCGUGGAAUGUUUUGAAUUUGAACAAAAUCUUCAAGAUCAAGAAAUAGCAUCUGAAUAAAAAAAAGUUCGAUCUCUUAUAUCUUCCUCUUAUUUUAUUGAUUAAUAAAAUUUGUUUUUUUUACAGUCAAUAUCACACUUUUACACUGAGAACAGUAAUGGCAGACGAGACAGAGCGUUCUGUGGAACUCUUUACGAAUGUUUGAAGGUAUAUACUCGCGUCUGUAUUUGAAACUAUACAUAUGCUUUUGUUUGAUUGGUUUUGAUAAAACUAUUUUCUUAG
This 306-nucleotide long non-coding RNA is filed under the name Mytilus galloprovincialis (Mediterranean mussel). Lineage: Eukaryota; Metazoa; Mollusca; Bivalvia; Mytilida; Mytilidae. The record is from RNAcentral.